UACGUAGGGCGCAAGCGUUGUCCGGAAUUAUUGGGCGUAAAGAGCUCGUAGGCGGUUUGUCGCGUCUGCUGUGAAAACCUAAGGCUCAACCUUGGGCUUGCAGUGGGUACGGGCAGACUAGAGUGCGGUAGGAGUGACUGGAAUUCCUGGUGUAGCGGUGGAAUGCGCAGAUAUCAGGAGGAACACCGAUGGCGAAGGCAGGUCACUGGGCCGCAACUGACGCUGAGGAGCGAAAGCAUGGGGAGCGAACAGG
This 253-nucleotide ribosomal RNA is filed under the name uncultured bacterium. RNAcentral describes it as "partial 16S ribosomal RNA". It matches the Rfam family "Bacterial small subunit ribosomal RNA", at positions 524 to 776 of the family's 1533-position model. The record is from RNAcentral.